Molecule: ribosomal RNA, 446 nt
Filed under: uncultured Hyphomicrobium sp.
Lineage: Bacteria; Pseudomonadati; Pseudomonadota; Alphaproteobacteria; Hyphomicrobiales; Hyphomicrobiaceae
Description: bacterial SSU rRNA
Rfam family: Bacterial small subunit ribosomal RNA
Source: RNAcentral
UGUCCUACGGGGGGCAGCAGUGGGGAAUAUUGGACAAUGGGCGCAAGCCUGAUCCAGCCAUGCCGCGUGAGUGACGAAGGUCUUCGGAUUGUAAAGCUCUUUUGCCAGGGACGAUAAUGACGGUACCUGGAGAAUAAGCCCCGGCUAACUUCGUGCCAGCAGCCGCGGUAAUACGAAGGGGGCUAGCGUUGUUCGGAAUUACUGGGCGUAAAGCGCACGUAGGCGGAUUUGUUAGUCAGGGGUGAAAUCCCGGGGCUCAACCUCGGAACUGCCUUUGAUACUGCAAGUCUAGAGUCCGGAAGAGGUGAGUGGAAUUCCUAGUGUAGAGGUGAAAUUCGUAGAUAUUAGGAAGAACACCAGUGGCGAAGGCGGCUCACUGGUCCGGUACUGACGCUGAGGUGCGAAAGCGUGGGGAGCAAACAGGAUUAGAUACCCUAGUAGUCAAA